This 75-nucleotide small RNA is filed under the name Xanthomonas floridensis. Its description in RNAcentral is "sX9 sRNA". It matches the Rfam family "Xanthomonas sRNA sX9". Lineage: Bacteria; Pseudomonadati; Pseudomonadota; Gammaproteobacteria; Lysobacterales; Lysobacteraceae. The record is from RNAcentral.
AUGUGCCACUCGUGCACUGCGGCUCCUACGCGCCGUUUGCACCCGCUGGUCACUGCGCGCUACGUUUUGUUUGCC